Long non-coding RNA from Macaca mulatta (Rhesus monkey), 1547 nucleotides. The record is from Ensembl. Lineage: Eukaryota; Metazoa; Chordata; Mammalia; Primates; Cercopithecidae.
GAAGACUGAAGCGAGAAGGACUGCGUGAGGUGGGCGACCACCGGAGCGAGGCGGGCGGCGUGUCGGGGGGCGUGAAGACAACCCCAGUCUCCCUCUGUCGCCCAGGCUGGAGGGCGUGAUGUCCGCUCACUGCAACCUCCACCUUCCGGGUUCAAACAGUUCUCCUGCCUCAGCCUCCUGAGUAGCUGGGAUUCCAGGAGGGCAGCCCGGAUUUGGUGGAAAGUAUUCUCAUCAGCAUGCACCUGGACACGAGGACCUAACAGAUAAAGAUGUGCCACAGGGUUUGCAGAUUGCUUGACCAUCUGUUUGCUGGUUCAGGAUUGUUGAAAUCUGCACUGUUUGCGUGUUUUAUGAGGCUUCUCCAGUCACAUGGUAGCAGAUGCACAGCUGACUGCCUCCUUUGGAAAGGCUGAUCAGAAACUCACAAGAAUGCAACUGCUCAUCUCUCACCUAUGUGUGACCUGGAGGCCCCCUUCCCUUUGAGUCUUCCUGCUCUUGCUUCAAGUUGUCCUGCCUUUCCAGACUGAACCAAUGUUCUUCUUACAUAUAUUGAUUGAUGUCUCAUGUCUCCCUAAAAUGUAUAAAACGAAGCUGUGCCCCGACCACCUUGGGUGCAUGUUAUCAGGACCUCCUGGGGGCAGUGUCACUGGUGCAUCCUCAACCUUGGAAAAAUAAACUUUCUAAAUUGAGACCUGUCUCAGAUUUUUGGGUUCACGAGGUACAUAAAUAACAAGGGCAAGAAUGUGGAAAAAUUGAAACCCUCAUACAUUGCUGGUGAGAAUGUAAAAUGGUGUAGCCACUUUGGAAAACAAUUUGGCAAUAUUUAACAAUGUUAAACAGUUACCACAUGAAAACUGAAGUCCACACAAAACCUUGUACAUGAAUGUUCAUAGCAGCAUCACUCAUAAUAGUCAAAAAAUGCAAACAACCCAAAUGUCAACUGAUGGAUAAAAUGUAGUAUAUCCAUAUAAUGGAAUAGUUUUUGUUUUAUUUAAUGAAAUAUUCAUCAGCAAUAAAAAAGAACUAGCUGCUGCUGUCUGCUAUAAUGUGGACCUUGAGAACAUUGUUAAAUGAAAGCAGUCACAAAUGACUCCAUGUUUUGUGUUUCCAUCCAUACGAAACGUCUAGAACAGAUAAAUCUAUAGAGGCAGAAAACAGAUUGGUGGCUGCGAGGGGCUGAGGGAAUGGAAGUGGGAAAUGACUGUUUAUGGGUAUAGGGUUUCUUUUCGGGAUGAUAACAUUCUCCUAAAAUUAGAUUGUGGUAUUGGUUCCACAACACUGAAAAACCACCUCACCUUAAAUUGGUGAAUUUUAUAGUACAUGGAUUAGAUCUCAACAAAAACUUUUAUUGAAGAAAAGAUUUAUCUGGAGAUGGAGAGUGAUGAUGGUUGCAUAGUAUGAAUAUACUUAAUGUCCUUAAAAAUUAAGGUGAUAAAUCUUGUUAUAAAUAACAAUUAAAAAUGAGUUUCAAUAAAUUAUUUGGGAACAUUUGCAUCUUAUGCCUUAGCUUGGAACAACUUUCCUGUGAAUAAAAUGCUUGUGAUGUG